AUGGACCCGUGCCCGUUCGUGCGGGUGCUGGUCGGCAACCUCGCCCUCAGAAUGCCGGUCGCGCCGCCCGCCGCCGGCGCCGGCGCCGGCGUCCACCCCUCCACCUCCCCCUGCUAUAUCAAGAUCCGCCUCGGCAAGAUGCCCUGCCAGACCGCCGCCGCCCCGCUCGUGCUCUCCGACGCCGCCGAGCAGCCGCCCUCCGGCGCACUCGCCGCGGCCUUCCACCUCUCCAAGGCCGAUUUGGAGUGGUUCGCCCGCAAGCCCUCGCUCUUCUCCCCCUCCCGCGGCGCCGCCACGCUCAAGGUGUCCGUCUACGCCGGCCGCAAGGGCACCACCUGCGGGGUCAGCUCCGGGCGGCUGCUCGGGAAGGCCACCAUCUCGCUGGAUCUCAAGGGCGCCGAGGCCAAGCCCGCGGUGCUGCACAGCGGCUGGAUUUCCGUCGGGAGGCGCGGCGUUGGCGGCAAGGGUGGUGGGUCCGCGGCCGCGGAGCUCAGCCUCACCGUCCGCGCGGAGCCUGAUCCGCGGUUCGUGUUCGAGUUCGACGGCGAGCCGGAGUGCAGCCCGCAGGUGAUGCAGGUCCGGGGCAGCAUGAAGCAGCCCAUGUUCACCUGCAAGUUCGGCUGCCGCACCAACAGCGACCUGCGGAGGUCGGCCGCGCAGACGGAGCGGGAGGCGGCCGGGAAGGAGCGCAAGGGGUGGUCCGUCACGGUGCACGACCUCUCGGGCUCCCCCGUCGCGCUCGCCUCCAUGGUGACGCCCUUCGUGGCCUCGCCGGGGACGGACCGCGUGAGCCGCUCCAACCCGGGCGCAUGGCUCAUCCUCCGCCCCGCGGGCGACGGCGCGUGGGAGCCGUGGGGACGCCUCGAGUGCUGGCGCGAGCGCGGCGGGGCGGGGUCGUCCGACAGCCUCGGCUACCGCUUCGACCUCCUCGUCCCCGGCGUCGACCACGCCGUCCCCAUCGCGGACUCCACCAUCGCCGCGUCAAAGGGCGGCAAGUUCGCGCUCGACCUGACCGCGGCGCAGCCCCUGAGCCGGGGGAGCACCCCGGGCUGCAGCCCGCGCGGCAGCGGAGACUUCAGCCAGUGGCCUCUGGGGAACUACCGCGGGUUCGUGAUGUCAGCCUCGGUCGAAGGCGAGGGCCGGUGCAGCAAGCCCACGGUGGAGGUCGGGGUGGCGCACGUCGGGUGCGCCGAGGACGCGGCGGCGUUCGUGGCGCUGGCGGCGGCCGUGGACCUGAGCAUGGACGCGUGCAGGCUCUUCUCGCACAAGCUCAGGAAGGAGCUCUCGCACCUGCGGUCCGACGUCCUCCGGUGA
RNAcentral lists this ribosomal RNA (1314 nucleotides) under Triticum aestivum (bread wheat). RNAcentral's name for it is "partial small subunit ribosomal RNA". The record is from RNAcentral. Lineage: Eukaryota; Viridiplantae; Streptophyta; Magnoliopsida; Poales; Poaceae.